GAUGAAGAACGGAGUGAAAUGCGAUAAGUAAUGUGAAUUGCAGAAUUCAGUGAAUCAUCGAAUCUUUGAACGCACAUUGCGCCCGCCAGUAUUCUGGCGGGCAUGCCUGUUCGAGCGUCAUUUCAACCCUCAAGCCCAGCUUGGUGUUGGGGAUCGGCACAGGCGCCCUCGGGCGCCCGCCGUCCCCUAAAUCUAGUGGCGGUCCCGCUGCAGCCUCCUCUGCGUAGUAGUUUUCUCCUCGCAAGGGCAGCUCGGUGGCGACCUCGCCGUAAAACCCCCAACUUCUGAAAGGUUGACCUCGAAUCAGGUAGGAAUACCCGCUGAACUUAAGCAUAUCAAUAAGCGGAGGA
Molecule: unclassified non-coding RNA, 350 nt
Filed under: soil metagenome
Description: partial contains 5.8S ribosomal RNA, internal transcribed spacer 2, and large subunit ribosomal RNA
Rfam family: 5.8S ribosomal RNA (bases 1-120)
Source: RNAcentral